RNAcentral lists this unclassified non-coding RNA (289 nucleotides) under Hevea brasiliensis (rubber tree). The record is from RNAcentral. Lineage: Eukaryota; Viridiplantae; Streptophyta; Magnoliopsida; Malpighiales; Euphorbiaceae.
UUCCCCACAGCUAGGACAGUGGAUCAGAUGAUGGAGACAAUGGAUAGAAUAAUGGAGGAUCCUUUUGCUUAUAAUGGUGCAUCGCUGCCUUCACGUAGUGUCGAUGAUGGUGUAGGGAACUACCGGAGAGGGAGGACACCCUGGGAGAUCAUAGAGGCCAGAGACCAGUACAAACUACGAUUUGACAUGCCUGGGAUGACAAAGAAUGAUGUUAAAAUCUGGGUGGAGGAGAAGAUGCUGGUGUUCAAUGCUGAAAAGCAGCCAGGGGAAGUGGAAGAGAAGGAGGAGG